Molecule: ribosomal RNA, 497 nt
Filed under: uncultured bacterium
Lineage: Bacteria
Description: partial 16S ribosomal RNA
Rfam family: Bacterial small subunit ribosomal RNA
Source: RNAcentral
GAUGAACGCUGGCGGCGUGCCUAAUACAUGCAAGUCGAGCGAACAGAUGCGGCGCUUGCUCCUCUGACGUUAGCGGAGGACGGGUGUGUAACACGUGUAUCCCCUCCCUAUCUGACUGGGAUAACUUCGGGACUCCGGAGCUAAUACCGGAUAAUAUCUUGAACCGCAUGGUUCGUUAGAGAAAGACGGUUGUGGUGUCACUACUAGAGGGAUACCCGCUGGAUUAGGUAGUUGGUACGGUAACGGCCUACCACGGCGAGCAUGCGUGUGCGACCUGUGAGGCGGAUCGGCCACAUGGGAACUGAGACACGGUCCAGAGUCCUACGGGAGGCAGCAGUAGGGAAUGGUCGGCAAUGGGCGGAAGCCUGACGGAGCGGGGCCACGUGUGUGAUGAAGAUCUUCGGAGCGUAAAGCUCUGUUACGAGGUGAGAACAGAUGUGGAAGGAACUAUGGACGUCUUGACGGUACCUAGUCAGAAAGCAACGGCUAACUACGUG